This 239-nucleotide long non-coding RNA is filed under the name Capsicum annuum. RNAcentral describes it as "long non-coding RNA (CANN_LNC017729)". Lineage: Eukaryota; Viridiplantae; Streptophyta; Magnoliopsida; Solanales; Solanaceae. The record is from RNAcentral.
GGACUUUUCUUUGGCUUGUAACGUAGGUUUGGGGCUGGUAUGAUGCAUAAGGAUAUUUAAAGUGACUAAGCCUUCUUGGCACUACACUAAUUUUUAGGGUUCACACUUAACCAAUUUUUCACUUUAUUUUCGCCCUUAUUUCUUCCUCUUUAUUUUAAAGCAUAUUCAGGUUGGGUGUGGUCUUCUAGUCUUUCUUUUUCUCUUUUUAACAAAUUUUCUUUUCUUUUUUUUUCUUUUCU